GAGGACGAGCUUGCGGAGAGCACACAGGACACAGUUCUCCCCAACAGCCAGGAUCUUUUCCUCAGCCUGACUGAAAUAACCUCCCAAGGCGGUAUCCUGGACCAUGAAGCUGGAGAAGGGACCUCUAAUGAAAAUUUUUCAAGACU
Molecule: non-coding RNA, 146 nt
Organism: Chelonoidis abingdonii (Abingdon island giant tortoise)
Lineage: Eukaryota; Metazoa; Chordata; Testudines; Testudinidae
Source: RefSeq, a predicted model, not a curated record